Molecule: non-coding RNA, 482 nt
Organism: Manis javanica (Malayan pangolin)
Lineage: Eukaryota; Metazoa; Chordata; Mammalia; Pholidota; Manidae
Source: RefSeq, a predicted model, not a curated record
AGUGAGAUAAGGACACUAGCAACAAAUGACAGCUCACUGGUGACAGACAGCAGGCAGAACACCCAUGUCUUCUCUCAGCCUGGGCAGUGGCUUUCUGUGUGGAUGGGGGUGCCUUAGCUGGGUCCCUGAAUGAAGACACCGUGGAGCCUAGAGACUAAGGACUUUGUGUGAACAAGAAAUACACUGUUAUUUUGAAUCAUUGGGAGAAACAUAUAUAUUCAUCAGUGUGAUUGAUCAUCAGUAGAUGUAACGGUAUGAGACUCCAGCUCUUCUUUAUGUGUGGAUCUUUCUAUAUGAUGGUCCCUCGCUGCCCCUCCCUCUUUCACUUUACACUAUGCUCGGGAGGUCUUCCUUCAUCUACUUACAACUACAACCCAGCUUCCUCCACUCCACACUCAUUAUCACCCUUAUUUUUUUCCAUUGUUCUUAUCACCAUCUACCACACUACAUAUUUACUUAUUUGCUUGUUAGAUAUUUGUUCC